AGAGUUUGAUCCUGGCUCAGAAUGAACGCUGGCGGCGUGCUUAACACAUGCAAGUCGAACGAGAAAGGGAUUGCUUGCAAUCCUGAGUAGAGUGGCGCACGGGUGAGUAACACGUAGAUAAUCUACCUCCGAAGCUGGGAUACUAUUCGAAAGGAUAGCUAAUACCGGAUAAAGUGGUUUGACACAAGUCAGGUCAUGAAAGAUUGCCUCUUCCUGAAAGCAAUUGUUUGGAGAUGAGUUUGCGGACCAUUAGUUUGUUGGUGGGGUAAAGGCCUACCAAGACUACGAUGGUUAGCUGGUCUGAGAGGAUGAUCAGCCACACUGGAACUGGUACACGGUCCAGACUCCUACGGGAGGCAGCAGUGAGGAAUUUUGCGCAAUGGGGGCAACCCUGACGCAGCAACGCCGCGUGAGUGAAGAAGGCCUUUGGGUCGUAAAGCUCUGUCGACAGGGAAGAAAUUAUUAUCAUCCAAUAGGUGGUAGUAUUGACGGUACCUGUAGAGGAAGCACCGGCUAACUCCGUGCCAGCAGCCGCGGUAAUACGGGGGGUGCAAGCGUUAUUCGGAAUUAUUGGGCGUAAAGGGCGCGUAGGCGGUCUUGUCGGUCAGAUGUGAAAGCCCGGGGCUCAACCCUGGAAGUGCAUUUGAAACAGCAAGACUUGAGUACGGGAGAGGAAAGCGGAAUUCCUGGUGUAGAGGUGAAAUUCGUAGAUAUCAGGAGGAACACCGAUGGCGAAGGCAGCUUUCUGGACCGAUACUGACGCUGAGGCGCGAAGGCGUGGGUAGCGAACAGGAUUAGAUACCCUGGUAGUCCACGCAGUAAACGAUGUUCACUAGGUGUAGCGGGUAUUAAAAUCUGCUGUGCCCAAGCUAACGCAUUAAGUGAACCGCCUGGGGAGUACGGUCGCAAGACUAAAACUCAAAGGAAUUGACGGGGGCCCGCACAAGCGGUGGAGCAUGUGGUUUAAUUCGACAACGCGAAGAACCUUACCUGGGUUUGACAUCCUGUGAAUCUUCAAGAGAUUGAGGAGUGCCUUCGGGAACACAGUGACAGGUGCUGCAUGGCUGUCGUCAGCUCGUGUCGUGAGAUGUUUGGUUAAGUCCAGCAACGAGCGCAACCCUUAUCUUUAGUUGCCAGCGCGUAAUGGCGGGAACUCUAGAGAGACUGCCCGGGUUAACCGGGAGGAAGGCGGGGAUGACGUCAAGUCCUCAUGGCCCUUAUAUCCAGGGCUA
This 1232-nucleotide ribosomal RNA is filed under the name metagenome. Its description in RNAcentral is "bacterial SSU rRNA". It matches the Rfam family "Bacterial small subunit ribosomal RNA", at positions 8 to 1216 of the family's 1533-position model. The record is from RNAcentral.